Molecule: long non-coding RNA, 2188 nt
Organism: Numida meleagris (helmeted guineafowl)
Lineage: Eukaryota; Metazoa; Chordata; Aves; Galliformes; Numididae
Source: Ensembl
UGCCUUCUCGCACUUCAAACUCUUUCCGCGGCCGAAAUAAAUAAAUAAAUAAUAUAUAAAUAAAAGGGGCGGGGGACGAGGAGAGGCCGCGCGGACGGGCUGGGCCCGCGGAGGGCCGCGCCGCCCGCCCAAGGUCACGGCGCGCGUUGCGCGGAGCUGGCUGCUCUCCGCCGGCCUCGGGCGGCCCUGGCGGGCACCUUCCCGCCCCCUCGGCGCCGCAUGGCCGCCCCACCCACCCCAUGGCCAUCGCCGAGGAAAUGGAGGUGGUGGGGCUGCUCCCGAGAGCCCCUCGAGCCGUGCAGCCUGAGGAGGAUGGAGGGCUCAUAGCCUUUCUCAUCUCCACCAGCACCCACCCUUCACAGUGUGUGGAGAAGCCUCUCCUGCUCCCUUUCAGCCAUUUUGCAAAUUAGCCGGCCCUCUCCAGGAAAUGGAAGCCACUGACCUCCCACAACUUGGUCUUCGUGCCGAGGUGCUGGGCAACCAGCUCCCGUUGCGAUGUGGUGUGACACCAGCGGUUGCCGUCAUUCUAGAACCUUCUGGGCCUGCUUCUCAGAGGCACUGUCCCAAUGCAGAGCCUCAGCAGAGAGGCUACAGAGCUCCACUGUGGCCCUUGGCAUCCUCCUGGCCCACAUGAGGCCUCCAUGAGCAAGCGGUCCUGCAUAGAGGUGGUCUGCAAUGGCUGCAGGAUGGGGGAAGACCAGAAACGCCCAGCCUCCCACCAGCAGCACAGCCGCUCCAGCUGUUACCCACCAUUGCCAUCCAGAGUCUCUUUCUACAGACUUUCCAAGUUAAGGAGGAAUUUCCUCACCAACUUGGCCAUAAAUUAGGACAAAUUCACUAGUCACAAGUAGAAGCUCUGCUUUCCACCAAACACAGUGGAGUCUUGCGGAGAUGGAAGCUGGUGUGCGGGAUGCCGUGGCUGCUGCAUUCCAUGAAGGAAAGGGAUCCAUUUCUGUGGAGGUUUUUCAAGAAGCUUCGUGGCUGUAUGCUGUGAAGGAGUUCUUCCUCCAGGAAUUCACCUGCCUCAAGUGUUGGAUUCAGAAUGAGAUUCUGCUGGGAGAACCUGACAGGACAUUCAGCGCUCUAAUAUCAUAUCCUAUAACUUCUCCACUGCUGCAUGCAUAUGCCCACAUUUUCAGAAGAUCAUGUGACACUUCAGACAAGCAAAGCACAAGAAAAAUCAUGGGAUCAGUCUGCCUCAAACCGCAUUGUCCUCACAUCCUCCAUUGAGCUUUGAGUGGAAGAUUUAUCACCUCUCAGAGUGAAUGUCUCCUACAGUAAUCAUAAAGCCUUGUCACUAUUUCAUGUGACACACAAGCAAUGCUUAGCAGCUGGGCUGGUGUAGCCCCAGACCUGAGUUUACAUCCGUCUGCCCAAGCACAAUGCCUGGAAGUGAAGGAGUCGGCUCUGGGCAAGGCCUGUCCUGUCAGGCCGCAAUGGUUGCCACUGGGCAACAAAGGCCGCUCAGUGGGGUGCUGGGUGCUGGCCUCCGCACGCACUCAGAGCAGGGCUGCUUUCUUUAAGUGAAGCCUGCUGGCUGCAUCUCUGGCGCUAACAAACUGUCCUGUUGCUUUUGAUGCUGGGAGGAGAGGGGUUUCUUACAGCUCUCAAGAGGCUGAAUGUGGCAGUGGGUAUUUUUAGUGCUCGAGGCCUCAGUCUGUGGCAUCGACCAAAAUGGCAGCUGUCACUGGGGAUUGCAGAUGGGGCUGUGUUCAAUACGCCGUGGAGCAGGAGGGCAGAAGCAAUCAGCAUUGGUGACCUGCCACGUAUAAUGUCAGAUAUAUGAGAAUAACAGUGACUGUGUCUGAAAUGAAUCAUCUGUGGGCUUGAAGGUUUGAUAUGCCAUAUUUGAAAAGUAUGAGCUAGAUGAAAAAUGUUUUCCUUGAAGACAUAAAUUAAGCUAUUUUGCUGUGGCUCCAUGUUGUCAUUUAAGUUUUUAACUUGAACAAGAGUCUGUUUAGGCUCAGAUUAUAAUUUGCAAAUAAGCUUCCAGUAUUCCUCCAGUGAAUGUAACAUAGCACAUAUACAUUCUUACUAUAAAGAAGACCAGCAUGUAACCCAGACCCUUGCACUUAGGCUUUACUUCUCAUUUUCAGAUAUUCAGUUUCCUAAACUGGAUUUUUAAAAAAGAAAUAACUUCAUAAUCUAACCCAAUAAUUCUGGCAAUAAAUAGAUCUAAAGAAAUUCA